CACCAUGGACAUGGCGAACUGCCUGAAGAAGGCAGACUGGCUGAGCGCGAACCGCGUGGUCAAGAGCCUCGUGUCGGGGUGGUCGAUGAGGGCCUGGUCGGACUUGAACAAUCCCUGCCUGACGAUGAGGUCGAAGUAGUACUUGUUGUCGAACACGUCGGGCGUGCGCACGUCGAGGGUCUGAUUGACGGUGCCCUGGGGCACGUCCUUGGCGCACUUGGCCCGCAGCCUCCUGGCGAAUAGCGGGUCGAUGAGCGGGUUGAGGUCGAUGUUGGGAGCGAAGCGGUCGGAGAAGACGGGGCAGUGGGCGACGCCGAAGGUGUGCGCGCCGGAGAGCGAGACGAGGUCGGCCACGUCGAGGCUCCGGUUGCCGAAGGAGGAGAUGAGAGUCGGCACGUCGAAGGAGGGCGCCGGCAGGGUGUCCACGAGGUCCUGGGACGCCGGGGCGAGCCCGUCGCGGCGGCCGAGGGCGACGUCGAAGUGUGGCCCGCCAGCCUGCAUCCACCACGUACGUACUCGUUGAUUAAUCGGUUCUGCUCAGGUUGAAAAUAUCGUCUGACAUAUGUACGCUUGUGUGGAGCAUAUGGCCGGCAGGCAUGAAGUGGAGUGUACCUGUACGAGGGCGUCACGGGUGGCGAGGACGGUGAUGUCGGCGCAGGAGACGGUCGGGCCGCAGGCGGCAUGGACGGCGGCGCGGAUGCGCUCGAUGAGGUCGAGAGCAACGGGGCGGAGCGUCUGGUUGGGCACCGCAUUCAGCUCGCUGUUGUUCCCGGUGAGGAGCACCGACGCGUCGCAGCCCUGCGGGAAGCAGUCGUGGAAGAGGAUGCGGAUGAGGGCGGGGGCGACGCCGACGUCGCGCCGGAAG
This 865-nucleotide long non-coding RNA is filed under the name Hordeum vulgare. Its description in RNAcentral is "long non-coding RNA (HVUL_LNC006049)". The record is from RNAcentral. Lineage: Eukaryota; Viridiplantae; Streptophyta; Magnoliopsida; Poales; Poaceae.